GGAUAUGAAGGUCAUUUGGCUGUGACAUCUGUCACCCCAACCCAUUGAUCACCAGGGUUGAUUCAGCUGAUCUGGCUGGCUAGGUGAGUGCCCCCAUCCUCCUUCAUCAUUCCCCGUGAGUACCCCUCAAAGCUGGGUAAAGAGGGCAACCUUCCCUGAUAGAGGAGAACCAUUCUUCAGUCAAGAUGAGUAACUAAGCUCUCCUGCUAGAAUCUCCAAAACAAGCUCUCCAAAAUAUUAAGGCCACCAAUGACAAUUUGCUUCCUGCCUUUAAUAAUUUGGUAAGAUGGGAAUGAUAAUUUGUAAUUGCAAAUGCUUUAACCAUCAAAUUCCUAUUU
This 338-nucleotide small nuclear RNA is filed under the name Nannospalax galili (Upper Galilee mountains blind mole rat). RNAcentral's name for it is "7SK RNA (ENSNGAG00000002376.1)". It matches the Rfam family "7SK RNA". Rfam says of the family: 7SK was discovered as an abundant small nuclear RNA in the mid-70s but a possible function has only recently been suggested. The record is from RNAcentral. Lineage: Eukaryota; Metazoa; Chordata; Mammalia; Rodentia; Spalacidae.